This is a long non-coding RNA of Gorilla gorilla gorilla (western lowland gorilla), 422 nucleotides long. RefSeq lists it as uncharacterized. Lineage: Eukaryota; Metazoa; Chordata; Mammalia; Primates; Hominidae. The record is from RefSeq and is a predicted model, not a curated record. The transcript is spliced from 4 exons.
GACACCAUCCCCAUUGUGCUUUCCGGAGAUGAGCCUGAUGGACUUGAAUUACUGACAACCCACAGCAGAAGCUGAAGAGCUUCAUGGCCUAAUUCCCUGAUCCUCCAACCAGGAGGCCUCCCCAGGCCUGAAAGAAGUGUUUGUAAAGUUCUUGGGCUGUAACUCAGAUUAUCUGCGUCAGGUUCUUUGAAGAUGAGGCCACUUCCGCAUUGUUAAGAAGUUCCAUGGAUUCUCAUGCACGGUAAAGUUGAAGAAUCACUGUUCUCCACGAUUUUGUGUCUGUACUGGAGAAGUUGGCUCAGAGAUGAAGAAGUAACUGGAACACAAUCAUCUGGCAAAAUCAACUGAGGAAAAUGGAAAAAAGUACCACCUUGCUAGUAAUAUUUUAGUGGCAAUAAUACCCAAAUAAUGUGGAUCCCAAU